Long non-coding RNA from Oryza sativa Japonica Group (Japanese rice), 2277 nucleotides. RefSeq lists it as uncharacterized. The record is from RefSeq and is a predicted model, not a curated record. Lineage: Eukaryota; Viridiplantae; Streptophyta; Magnoliopsida; Poales; Poaceae.
GCUGCACAGCAGGCCCGCUGCACCCCUCCACCAAAUUUUUUCCCCUCCUCGUUCGCUCCUCCUCCUCCCCGCAUGUAAUGCCGUCGCGCCGCCGCAUCCUCGCCGGAGCCGCCGGCUCCGCUACUGUCCACACCGGCUGCCGCAGCCGGAUCCUGCUUCUUCCCCACCGCCGCGGCCGGAGCCGACCUCGGUCCCAUCCGCCGCUGCCGGCGUUGAGGUCGGCCCCUUCCGCUGCCACCGCCACCGCCGCCAUGCACUCCACCGCUGGCUGGCGCCGAGGUCGUCCCUCUUCCUCAUCGGCCGAGCCGACGUCCUCCAGUCCCCAUCCGCCGCCGCCGAACUCCACCGAUGCCGCAGAUUGGUGGUCAAUUACUCUCCUGCUCGGCUGCUCCAGCCAUGGACAACGUCGGCGCCUCAAGGAAACCAACAAUGCUUACUACAAGGGAAUAUCUUGUGCUCUUUAUCCAGUAUGCAGAGAUAAGGGAGGUUCAAUGGAGAUGAUGAAAACAAGGUGCUUGAUAUCAUGACGCUAUUUGACAAGUGCAACACCUUUAAUAUUUGCAAUUUUCUUUCUGCUUCUAUCUAAAAUUAUGUACAUAUUCUACUAUUGAAGUGGUUCUCAUCCAUUAACAUAACAGAGAUAUGGUCCCAUUUUGCAAGAGUGUAUGACAUUUUUAUGUAGCACUGAAACAAUUUAAGAUUAUUAACAAAUAUUAAGUUUCCAUACCAAAUAAUAUUAUACUUCUCAAGCUUUGUGCACACAUUCCUAUUAAUAUUGCAAUGUGACUGCAUAGCUGAAAAUGCAGGAAUUGCAAAUAAAUUUUAUUGAAUUGUCAAAAUAGCAAAUGGCUCCAAUAUUACCAAUUUGGGGCCACUUUAAAGAAGAGGGGCGAAGAAGAUAUGGAAGUUAGAAGGUGAGCUUGCUUCAUUAGAAUAUCAUUUGCGUAUUUCUCGAAUAAAAUAUAAAAUAUUUUGCUUGAUUAUUUCCAGUAUGCACUCCUGAAGUAAUUCAUGGUCUUUGUAUUUUUCUAAUGGAUGUAUACUUGGUAUUUUCUGUUUUUGGUGCAAAUGGGUGAGCAAACAUGGAUGGUGAUGGUGUUCUGACGUCCAAAUGUGAAACCAGCCAAGGAUGUCCAGAAGCAAUGCUAGGCUUAAUUAGUGCGAUUAUCAUGGUGUGCCAGAUGAGGCUGAGUUCUUGAGUUUAUAGCCUGCAGUGAUGUUUUUUAAAACUAAUUCACUGCUGCACAUCACUGUUAUCCUGAAUUGCUGAACUACGUCUCUGUGGCAUCAGAGCAUCCGAAAUUCUUGCCUUGCUACAUGCUACUAUGAUUAAUCAGGGUCAAUUUUUCUGCCAUACAUAUUCAUUUGAGCAGUUUUUUGUUCUGUUCAUCAGUGGAUGAAAAAAAGUCAAUGCCAUGCAUGUUAAUAUAGGGGAAUACAAAAAUCCACCUCAGUUGCUUUCACUCAAUCAGGUAGUCUACUCGAAUCUUUUGUUAUUAUUUGACUCCAACCAAAUUUAAUUAUAUCUCUUUUGUGUUUGGAAAAAUGUGUCUAAUUGAGUUCGAGCAUGGGAUCAGAGUAGAAUUAAAUGAAUAAUCAAAAUUUGAAUUCAAAAGAUAAAUGAAAAUAAUGCUAAUACGAUUAAUCAAAAUUCUAAAAAUGAACUAAUUGAGGAUUAUAGAUUAUAUCUUGGUAAAUAUAUGGAGGCAUUGUAAGAGACCCUACAGAGCAUAUCAGUUGAAAUAGACAUGCAGAUUACCUUGUGAUGUGCCCAUUCUCCAUGUUAAUCUGGUACAUCUUCAUCAAUUUUGUCACGAGUUACAUGAUGAAUUGAUUCAAUAAUUGAUAUUUUAUAUUUUCAGCUUGGCAGCCUGUAGAUCUUUUGGACCAAAAGGGCAGGCCUCUUCCCCAAGGUGAAGCACUUUGUAGCUACAAUAUGCGAGUGCUCAGCCUAUACACCAUAUCCUUGUACGACUAUGUUGAGAGUUUUAUUCUCCAUUGAGGUAAAGUAUGCUCAAAAGUUUCGUUAAAAUAUAUUCAGUUUAGUGAUUUUGUUCAUGAACUAACUCUAUCGUGAACUCAUUUCUCGAAAAUUUUGGAUCUUUUAUUAGCAAAGCUAUGGACUGCAGUGGGUUUUGGCCAGAGCUCCAAUCCCUGCAAAUCACAAAUGCUGUAAUAUUUUGCAAAAUUAUGUACUCCAGUUCUAUUGUAAUUGUGUAAAACCAACAAAUUCUUAGUUUUGUCAGUUAUUAAAACACAUAGAUGCAUAUUGUGUCA